This 73-nucleotide transfer RNA is filed under the name Candidatus Kuenenbacteria bacterium RIFCSPHIGHO2_02_FULL_39_13. RNAcentral describes it as "tRNA-Lys". It matches the Rfam family "tRNA". Rfam says of the family: Transfer RNA (tRNA) molecules are approximately 80 nucleotides in length. Their secondary structure includes four short double-helical elements and three loops (D, anti-codon, and T loops). The record is from RNAcentral. RNAcentral also lists the same sequence under 6 other names. Lineage: Bacteria; Candidatus Kueneniibacteriota.
CCGCCUAUAGCUCAGCUGGUAGAGCAACUGCCUUUUAAGCAGGAGGUCCCAGGUCCGAAUCCUGGUGGGCGGA